This 269-nucleotide ribosomal RNA is filed under the name Enterobacter ludwigii. RNAcentral describes it as "partial 16S ribosomal RNA". It matches the Rfam family "Bacterial small subunit ribosomal RNA", at positions 1265 to 1533 of the family's 1533-position model. The record is from RNAcentral. Lineage: Bacteria; Pseudomonadati; Pseudomonadota; Gammaproteobacteria; Enterobacterales; Enterobacteriaceae. RNAcentral also lists the same sequence under 1 other name.
AAGCGGACCUCAUAAAGUGCGUCGUAGUCCGGAUUGGAGUCUGCAACUCGACUCCAUGAAGUCGGAAUCGCUAGUAAUCGUAGAUCAGAAUGCUACGGUGAAUACGUUCCCGGGCCUUGUACACACCGCCCGUCACACCAUGGGAGUGGGUUGCAAAAGAAGUAGGUAGCUUAACCUUCGGGAGGGCGCUUACCACUUUGUGAUUCAUGACUGGGGUGAAGUCGUAACAAGGUAACCGUAGGGGAACCUGCGGUUGGAUCACCUCCUUA